AGCGAACGCUGGCGGCAGGCUUAACACAUGCAAGUCGAACGGGCACUUCGGUGUCAGUGGCAGACGGGUGAGUAACACGUGGGAACGUACCUUUUGGUUCGGAACAACUGAGGGAAACUUCAGCUAAUACCGGAUAAGCCCUUACGGGGAAAGAUUUAUCGCCGAAAGUUCGGCCCGCGUCUGAUUAGCUAGUUGGUAGGGUAAUGGCCUACCAAGGCGACGAUCAGUAGCUGGUCUGAGAGGAUGAUCAGCCACAUUGGGACUGAGAAACGGCCCAAACUCCUACGGGAGGCAGCAGUGGGGAAUAGUGGACAAUGGGGGCAACCCUGAUCCAGCCAUGCCGCGUGAGUGAUGAAGGCCCUAGGGUUGUAAAGCUCUUUUGUGCGGGAAGAUAAUGACGGUACCGCAAGAAUAAGCCCCGGCUAACUUCGUGCCAGCCGCCGCGGUAA
RNAcentral lists this ribosomal RNA (449 nucleotides) under uncultured bacterium. RNAcentral describes it as "partial 16S ribosomal RNA". It matches the Rfam family "Bacterial small subunit ribosomal RNA", at positions 29 to 523 of the family's 1533-position model. The record is from RNAcentral.